Molecule: long non-coding RNA, 1780 nt
Organism: Oncorhynchus keta (chum salmon)
Lineage: Eukaryota; Metazoa; Chordata; Actinopteri; Salmoniformes; Salmonidae
Exons: 3
Source: RefSeq, a predicted model, not a curated record
CAGCUCAGGGCCAGGCUCAAUGUGGGCGGAGUCAAACGUGCUUAACCCGAACCCUUCCAGUCUCCUUCAACGUCGAAGGUCAACGAAAGCGGAUCUUAAUUGAACCUAACCAACAUGGAUAAAAAUAUAAACCAUGGAAGGCCUAUCAAAGCAAGGUUUCUCAAACAACUGGUGUGUUUGUUUUGAUGUACACUCUGUACAUUGCAAUGGAAGCACAGUGUGAUUUCACUGAGGUAUGUAUAAAUUAUGAAAUUCUCAUCACUAGGGGAUAUGUUUUUUUUGGGAUACCCUUCCAAUUGUGUGAUUUUCUGUUUCAAAAGGAAACCAUGCAGCAAAUUAGGCGAUGGUGGUGUCUAGUUCCCCUGCAGAACUUUCCCAUGCUGCAAGUCUUUAAUAGUAUAAAAACUUUUCAUUUGCAUCCUUAAAAUCACUAGUUUCACUGUCAGCCAGACUGACCUGAAUAUAUUUUCAUAUUGAAUGUACAGUUGAAGUGAGAUGUUUACAUACACUUAGGUUGGAGUCAUUAAAACUAGUUUCAACCACUCCACAAAUUUCUUGUUAAUUAACAAACUAUAGUUUUCACAAUUCGGUCAAUUUGUGCAUGACACGGCCUCCCGGGUGGCGCAAUGGUUAAGGGCGCUGUACUGCAGCGCCAACUGUGCCAUCAGAGUCCCUGGGUUUGCGCCCAGGCUCUGUCGUAACCGGCCGCGACCGGGAGGUCCGUGGGGCGACGAACAAUUGGCCUAGCGUCGCCCGGGUUAGGGAGGGCUUGGUCGGUAGGGGUGUCCUUGUCUCAUCGCGCACCAGCGACUCAUGUGGCGGGCUGGGCGCAGUGUGCGCUAGCCAAGGUGGCCAGGUGCACGGUGUUUCCUCCGGCAUGACCUUUUCUCCACUAAUAUAACAUCAAACAAACAUUCUUAUCUGUCUGAAAAGAUAUGCCCUCCUUCUCCCUUUCCCGCAAGGUACAGACAAUUAAUUUGUUUUACUUACAUUUUCAGUAACAGCUUAACCAAGAACUCAUACAUUUCAUACCAUAACAUAAUAGUAUUAAAAUCCAUUUCAAAAAGGAUUUUUAAGCCCUGAGACAACUCAAAUCAAACUGAGACAUGGAUUGUGUAUGUGUGUCAGAGGGUGAAUGGGCAACAAGUUUAUUUAUUUACCACGUUUUCUCCCCAAUUUCGUGGUAUCCAAUUGGUAGUUCAAAUCUUGUCUCAUCGCUGCAACUCCCGUACAGACUCAGGAGAGGUGAAGGUCGAGAUCCGCAGAUCCUCCGAAACCAAACCCAACCAAGCCGCACUGCUUCUUGACAAUGCCCACUUAAACCAGAAGCCAGCCGCACCAAUGUGUCGGAGGAAACACCGUGCACCUGGCGACUGUGUCAGCGUGCACUGCAUCCGGCCCGGCACAGGAGUCAUGAGUUCGCGAUGGGACAAGGACUUCCCUGCCGGCCAAACCCUCCUCUAUCCUGGGCGACGCUGGGCCAAUUGUGCACCGCCCCAUGGGUCUCCUGGUCGCGGCCGGCUGAGGCAGAGCCUGGACUCAAACCCAGAAUCUCUCUACAGCCAACACUCCAAUACAGUGCCUUGCGCCACUCGGGAGGUGAACACAAACAUUUUAAGUGCCUUUGAAUGGGGUAUGGUAGUAGGUGCCAGGUGCACCGGUUUGAGUGUGUCAAAAACUGGAACACUGCUGGGUUAUCCACGCUCAACAGUUUCCCGUGUGUAUCAAGAAUGGUCCACCACCCAAAGGACAUCCAGCUAACUUGAUACUGUGGGAAGUA